RNAcentral lists this long non-coding RNA (254 nucleotides) under Drosophila guanche. Lineage: Eukaryota; Metazoa; Arthropoda; Insecta; Diptera; Drosophilidae. The record is from RNAcentral.
CUUUUAUGUACAUUCCAAGCCAUGCAGUCCAUUCCCCAAUCUGUUUUCUAAAUUCUAAAUUUUCCACUUACCAGACAAAGUGUUUACGCUGCGCGAAACACGGCUUGUUUUUGAUUGUCACUUUUGACAGUUCCCCACCCCACCACACUAUAUACCCUGCUAAUAACCCUAAAAAGGCCCCUAAAUUUCUAUGUCAACUGACGAAACAACUCAAGUGUGAAUAUUUAUAUUCACACUUGCCAUUAAAAACUGCC